UCGUCAGGAAGGAUAAUCCUUACCUGUUUCUCUACUCAGAGGAUAGAAGAAUGUGAUGAUUAGAGUUCAACAUGAUUCAUGAUUAAUGUCUAAUCGCUCCUAUCUGUU
This 108-nucleotide small nucleolar RNA is filed under the name Sorex araneus (European shrew). RNAcentral's name for it is "U8 small nucleolar RNA (ENSSARG00000017225.1)". It matches the Rfam family "U8 small nucleolar RNA". Rfam says of the family: U8 is a member of the C/D class of snoRNA which contain the C (UGAUGA) and D (CUGA) box motifs. U8 is the RNA component of a small complex (the U8 snoRNP) which is required for accumulation of mature large subunit ribosomal RNAs, 5.8S and 28S rRNAs. The record is from RNAcentral. Lineage: Eukaryota; Metazoa; Chordata; Mammalia; Eulipotyphla; Soricidae.